This is a long non-coding RNA of Micropterus salmoides (largemouth bass), 2376 nucleotides long. RefSeq lists it as uncharacterized. The transcript is spliced from 4 exons. Lineage: Eukaryota; Metazoa; Chordata; Actinopteri; Centrarchiformes; Centrarchidae. The record is from RefSeq and is a predicted model, not a curated record.
CAUUUUCUUUGAUUCCAAAUCCAUUUAAUUAAUCCUAGUCCUUUCAUUUAAUCCACCUCAAUGUAUUUCAGGGUCUGCUUCUCGGGGUUAGGCCUUGCUCAGCUUACACAAGGCACAAAACCCCAAAGUCAUUUUCUGAUUAGACGAUAUGUGUGUGCUGAAGCAAAUCGGCACUUGAUGCGUGGCUGAUAAAAUGGUAAUAAUAGGCAAACACACAAAAGGCAUUUCAAUGACUCUGAAAUCAUUAACUCUUAUUUGAUUUGGCAGGUUGAAGAGCACAUUCUCAUUUUCAAUACACAAAGAGGGUUGGCUGCUAGCAGGAGAAGGGCUGGUUGAAUCCAUAAAUUAACACAAAUCAUAACACUGAAUGUUACAUGUCUGUUGCUCGUCUACUAAAACAGUGAUUCUGUGUUUGAUUAAAAAGGUCAGUCGCUGGGGAAAGCUCCUUAAUAAAGAGACAAAAUUACAUCAUAAGAUGGAUGUCUUUAUUUCUGCAAUGCAAGGAGAAGAAUCAUCCAGAAGAUCACUCCAUUAGCAACAAGAUCAUUCAUCUUGAUUUUAGACAGCUCUUGAAAUAAAUUAAUUUCACAAUGCAAUCGACUUCAACCUCAUGUUGUCUCCAGUGGUCCCUCUCCUCUAUUUACCUUUUGUUCUCUGUUUCCCCAUCCUGUUGUGCCUGUCUGUCUGUUUUCCCUGUGAGUUGGGCGUGGUUUUUUCUGGCUCCUCCACACACCUGCAACUUGUUUCCAAUCAACCGCCUAUUAUCUACCCUGGUCCAGCACGCCAGUAUCUUCUGUGAACCACUCAAACCUGCCUGCCAGUCACUUGCUUGCCCACCUGCUUUGCCUUCACCGCUUCAGCUCAACCAUCUUGCUUGGAUUUCCCAUUCUGGACCUGGAUCACUCCCCGCCUCAGCAGACUGUUAAAUCCCUUGAAAAACUCCCUUUGACUAUGAUUUUAGGUAGACUGAAGACGACAAGAAGCAACAUGGAGACUAAUCAAUCUUUGUCUGAUAAUCAACAGUUAAAGCUACAAUCUGUUGAAUUGGGAGUUUGACACCUCCCAGUAGAAGUAACAAAAAAAAGACACUGUGGCAGAAUACAUGCUGAAUCCGGAAAAAUGCAGAAAACCACUUACAUGUACUCAUUUGGCAGACUUACUGACACUUGAUGAAUUAAAAGCAAUAAAAAACGUGGCAACACACAAUUUUCUCUAAAUAAAAAUCCGUGACCCCUUUUCAAUUCCGCUACCACAGGUGUUUAAUAACUUCUCUUCUAAGGACUAUGUGGACAAUGGGCAUAUACAAUCUGUGCUUGCACCUGUUAAUAUGGUUGGCUCUUGAAAGAAGCUGGCCCACGCUCAGUCCCGGAAAAGGAUGUAAUGUCACACACAAAACUUAAAGGCAGUUUUGUUUAUAUUGUGCAUGCACACAAAGGAUGCAGAUACACACCUGCCAAUGGUUUCGCACUAUUCCACUAAUCAACAGGUGGCUGUAACAUGCCAAGACAUGCUGCAAUGUUCCAACAAAGGCAAGAAGGAGGAACCUGCCAGCAAGUAAACAUGGAUGUAAACAAUGCUGGAUUUAAAUACUUAAGAGGAAGGAAAUGCAUUCUUACAGCUCAGGGUGACAGUUUGUUUUGAGAGGAGAGUGAAGGAGAUGUCAAUCAAGCAUAGUCUGUACACACCCACACAGUCUGGAAGAGAUGUCAAAUCAGGAAAAUAAGUGAAAACACCUGUAUGGGUAGAACAAAGGCGACACAAGUAUCUAUGUUUGAUAUGGAAAGUGUUGGGCUGAAUGGCCGUCCAUAGAGGAAUAUAAACUACAGGGAGGUUCUUUUGUAGUCAUUAAAAAAUAAAAGCCUACAGUGCUCUUGUGUGCCAGAACUAUGUACAUGAAUAAUCAAUGUAGUGUAACUGAUACAUAAAUUAAACACUGCAUUCAUUUGGAAAGAAUUACAUAGAUCUAAUUGGGCUAUUUGUCAGUACUGUAUGUUUUCACUACAACUUUCAAUAUUCUUAUUUUGUGUAUGUGUAUGAGCCUAUACUUUGUCUUGGAAUUUGAAAAUAUAAAAUUUGAAAUGGUAGGUAGAUAUGGUGUCUAUUCUGAUGUUCUCUUUUCUACGGUCUUUGGAGUGAAUGUAGUUGAUUUCUUACAACACCGUUGUGCAAGUUGUUCACACCUGGAGCCAGCUGCUCAUCUGGUGACGAAGAAAUCAGAGGCAAUUGGAACAAAGGAAAUUACUAUGACGAGACCCAUUAAAAAGCUUGUAUUUUGACAAGGCUUCCAGGGGAGUUUUGACUCACUCUGCAGCAAAGACACCUGUGUUUUCAGCAGAUGCUGUUUGAAUCUUGACAAGAUGGAGAUUUGAAAAAACU